This 323-nucleotide ribosomal RNA is filed under the name uncultured Ruhlandiella. RNAcentral's name for it is "eukaryotic LSU rRNA". The stretch from base 1 to 102 matches the Rfam family "5.8S ribosomal RNA", at positions 53 to 154 of the family's 154-position model. Lineage: Eukaryota; Fungi; Ascomycota; Pezizomycetes; Pezizales; Pezizaceae. The record is from RNAcentral.
AUGCGAUAAGUAAUGUGAAUUGCAGAAUCUCGUGAAUUAUCGAAUCUUUGAACGCACAUAGUGCCCUAUGGUAUUCCGUAGGGCAUGCCUGUCUGAGCAUCAGCUCCCCCACACCCAAGUCUCUUAAUUGAAGCUUGGAUCACUCUAAAGAAGUGGCUGAAAUACAAUAUGCUACUCUUUAGAAAUUCAUAGGGAGUAUGGCACCUGAACCAGACGUAUUAAGGAUAUAAAAGCGUCUCUCUUUUGGAAGGUUGUACUUGCCUCAACCCACCCAUUUUCUUCUGGGUGACCUCGGAUCAGGUAGGGAUACCUGCUGAACUUAA